UGCAAGUCUGGUGCCAGCAGCCCCGGUAAUCCCAGUUCCAAAAGCGUAUAUUAAAGUUGUUGCAGUUAAAAAGCUCGUAGUUGAACUUUGGGUCUGUUUGGCCGGUCCGAUUUUUUCGUGUACUGGACCCAACCGAGCCUUUCCUUCUGGCUAACCUUUCGCCCUUGUGGUGUUUGGCGAACCAGGACUUUUACUUUGAAAAAAUUAGAGUGUUCAAAGCAGGCCUUUGCUCGAAUAUAUUAGCAUGGAAUAAUAGAAUAGGACGUUAUGGUUCUAUUUUGUUGGUUUCUAGGACCAUCGUAAUGAUUAAUAGGGACGGUCGGGGGCAUCAGUAUUCAGUUGUCAGAGGUGAAAUUCUUGGAUUACCUGAAGACUAACUACUGCGAAAGCAUUUGCCAAA
RNAcentral lists this ribosomal RNA (400 nucleotides) under uncultured Debaryomyces. Its description in RNAcentral is "SSU rRNA". It matches the Rfam family "Eukaryotic small subunit ribosomal RNA", at positions 554 to 962 of the family's 1831-position model. The record is from RNAcentral. Lineage: Eukaryota; Fungi; Ascomycota; Saccharomycetes; Saccharomycetales; Saccharomycetaceae.